AAACACGACUCUCGGCAACGGAUAUCUCGGCUCUCGCAUCGAUGAAGAACGUAGCGAAAUGCGAUACUUGGUGUGAAUUGCAGAAUCCCGUGAACCAUCGAGUCUUUGAACGCAAGUUGCGCCCGAAGCCGUCAGGCCGAGGGCACGUCUGCCUGGGCGUCACG
Molecule: ribosomal RNA, 164 nt
Filed under: Ipomoea trifida
Lineage: Eukaryota; Viridiplantae; Streptophyta; Magnoliopsida; Solanales; Convolvulaceae
Also listed under: 1 other name
Description: 5.8S ribosomal RNA
Rfam family: 5.8S ribosomal RNA
About the family: 5.8S ribosomal RNA (5.8S rRNA) is a component of the large subunit of the eukaryotic ribosome. It is transcribed by RNA polymerase I as part of the 45S precursor that also contains 18S and 28S rRNA. Functionally, it is thought that 5.8S rRNA may be involved in ribosome translocation.
Source: RNAcentral